Molecule: ribosomal RNA, 305 nt
Filed under: uncultured bacterium
Lineage: Bacteria
Description: bacterial SSU rRNA
Rfam family: Bacterial small subunit ribosomal RNA
Source: RNAcentral
UCCUACGGGAGGCAGCAGUGAGGAAUAUUGGUCAAUGGUCGGGAGACUGAACCAGUCAAGCCGCGUGAGGGAGGAAGGUACAGAGUAUCGUAAACCUCUUUUGUCAGGGAACAAAGGCGGGGACGUGUCCCCGGAUGAGUGUACCUGAAGAAAAAGCAUCGGCUAACUCCGUGCCAGCAGCCGCGGUAAUACGGAGGAUGCGAGCGUUAUCCGGAUUUAUUGGGUUUAAAGGGUGCGCAGGCGGUCUGUUAAGUCAGCGGUCAAAGCCCGGGGCGCAACCCCGGCCCGCCGUUGAAACUGGCAGG